UACGGAGGGUGCAAGCGUUAUCCGGAUUCACUGGGCUUAAAGGGUGCGUAGGUGGGCAGUUAAGUCAGUGGUGAAAUCUCCGGGCUCAACCCGGAAACUGCCAUUGAUACUAUCUGUCUUGAAUAUCGUGGAGGUAAGCGGAAUAUGUCAUGUAGCGGUGAAAUGCUUAGAUAUGACAUAGAACACCAAUUGCGAAGGCAGCUUACUACCCGAAUAUUGACACUGAGGCACGAAAGCGUGGGGAUCAAACAGG
This 253-nucleotide ribosomal RNA is filed under the name uncultured bacterium. Its description in RNAcentral is "partial 16S ribosomal RNA". It matches the Rfam family "Bacterial small subunit ribosomal RNA", at positions 524 to 776 of the family's 1533-position model. The record is from RNAcentral.